RNAcentral lists this long non-coding RNA (990 nucleotides) under Physcomitrium patens. RNAcentral describes it as "long non-coding RNA (PPAT_LNC006158)". Lineage: Eukaryota; Viridiplantae; Streptophyta; Bryopsida; Funariales; Funariaceae. The record is from RNAcentral.
AGUAAGUAUGUACAAAAAGAAAUUGGAAUGACUAUUGCAAAAGAUCAAAAAAUGAGAGAUUCUUGACACUAGACAAGAAAUAAGAAAGGAGUUGCAAGACUGCAAAAAGACUCAUUCUUGUCUUUAUAUAUACUAUCAAAUUAAAAACUACGUAGCAAUAUUCUAUAAGGUAUCAAACAUAUGUUCAACUUGCAAGACAUAUAUUUAAAUUGUAUAACAAGUUUCUUAUAUAUAUGCUAUAUGACCUACUUGUACCAUAAGUGGCUAAUAUGUGCAAUACAUGGCUAAUUUAUUGGCCAAGUUUUUAACCUAGUAAUCACCUAGAAAUACAUAUAAAAUCAAAUCUAUAUUUAUGAAGCUUCUAACAAGCUUAUUCAUAUAAUAUUAUCAAAUUUAUUUUCUUUUAAUUACUUCUAUUUAAUUCUAAUAAUUUAAAUAAAUAUAUAUGUAAAAAAUAUAAAAUUAUAUAUUAAGUUAAAAAUAUAUAAAUUUUAUAAAACUCAAGUUAAUUAUUUGGAUUAUAUGAUUUUAAAUGAUAGUUUUAUAAUAGAUUCAAAGAAACUCUAAAUUAUUAUUAACCAAAUUUUUUAAAAAUAAUAAAUAUUUUUAAAUAUUCUAUUAUUAAUAGAUUUUUAUUAAGAUUUUUUUUAUGUUGCAUCUUUUUUUACAUGUUUGACUUGUAAAGGCAAAUUUAUUAAUGAAACAAAAAAGAAGAAGUAAGAAGUCUCAAUACUUACCAUCAACAAGGUUGUUUUCAAAGAAAGGUGUAGAAUAAGAUAACUUUUACUAUUAUAUUCUUAACUUAUAGGUUGUAUUAUAUAGUGUCUAUCUACUAUUAAGAUAUUUUUUAGAAUAUACUUUAUAUUUUUUUAUAUUUAUAUUAGAUUUUAGAUUCUUCAUAACCUACAUAGUACCAAAAACUCUAGUAGCCAUCCUAGUGACUUAUCUUCAACCUUUGCUACUUUUUGACCAAUAUCAACUUAUUGUAGU